RNAcentral lists this ribosomal RNA (392 nucleotides) under Stenus brunnipes. RNAcentral describes it as "partial 16S ribosomal RNA". The record is from RNAcentral. Lineage: Eukaryota; Metazoa; Arthropoda; Insecta; Coleoptera; Staphylinidae.
UGCCCAAUGAUUAAUUAAAUGGCUGCAGUAUUAUGACUGUACAAAGGUAGCAUAAUCAAUAGUUUCUUAAUUAGAAGCUGGAAUGAAUGGAUAAACGAAAAAUUAACUAUCUUUUUUUAAAUAAUAGAAUUUUAUAUUUAAGUUAAAAAGCUUAAAUUUUAUUAAAAGACGAGAAGACCCUAUAGAGUUUCAUAUAUUUUAAAUUUUAUUAUAAAAAUUUAAUUUAAAAUAUAUUUUAUUGGGGUGAUAGAAAAAUUUAAUUAACUUUUAUUUAAUUUUAACAAUUAUAAUUGAUUUAAUGAUCCAUUAUUAUGAUUAUAAGAUUAAAUUACCUUAGGGAUAACAGCGUAAUAUUUUUUUAAAGUUCAUAUUAAAAAGAAUGAUUGCGACCU